AUAGCAUAUCAGAAGGCACACCCGGAGAACUGAAACAUCUUAGUAACCGGAGGAAGAGAAAGAAAAUUCGAUUCCCUUAGUAGCGGCGAGCGAAACGGGAAGAGCCCAAACCAACAAGCUUGCUUGUUGGGGUUGUAGGACACUCUAUACGGAGUUACAAAGGACGACAUUAGACGAAUCAUCUGGAAAGAUGAAUCAAAGAAGGUAAUAAUCCUGUAGUCGAAAAUGUUGUCUCUCUUGAGUGGAUCCUGAGUACGACGGAGCACGUGAAAUUCCGUCGGAAUCUGGGAGGACCAUCUCCUAAGGCUAAAUACUCUCUAGUGACCGAUAGUGAACCAGUACCGUGAGGGAAAGGUGAAAAGCACCCCGGAAGGGGAGUGAAAUAGAACCUGAAACCGUGUGCUUACAAGUAGUCAGAGCCCGUUAAUGGGUGAUGGCGUGCCUUUUGUAGAAUGAACCGGCGAGUUACGAUUUGAUGCAAGGUUAAGCAGUAAAUGUGGAGCCGUAGCGAAAGCGAGUCUGAAUAGGGCGUUUAGUAUUUGGUCGUAGACCCGAAACCAGGUGAUCUACCCUUGGUCAGGUUGAAGUUCAGGUAACACUGAAUGGAGGACCGAACCGACUUACGUUGAAAAGUGAGCGGAUGAACUGAGGGUAGCGGAGAAAUUCCAAUCGAACCUGGAGAUAGCUGGUUCUCUCCGAAAUAGCUUUAGGGCUAGCCUCAAGUGAUGAUUAUUGGAGGUAGAGCACUGUUUGGACGAGGGGCCCCUCUCGGGUUACCGAAUUCAGACAAACUCCGAAUGCCAAUUAAUUUAACUUGGGAGUCAGAACAUGGGUGAUAAGGUCCGUGUUCGAAAGGGAAACAGCCCAGACCACCAGCUAAGGUCCCAAAAUAUAUGUUAAGUGGAAAAGGAUGUGGCGUUGCCCAGACAACUAGGAUGUUGGCUUAGAAGCAGCCAUCAUUUAAAGAGUGCGUAAUAGCUCACUAGUCGAGUGACACUGCGCCGAAAAUGUACCGGGGCUAAACAUAUUACCGAAGCUGUGGAUUGUCCUUUGGACAAUGGUAGGAGAGCGUUCUAAGGGCGUUGAAGCAUGAUCGUAAGGACAUGUGGAGCGCUUAGAAGUGAGAAUGCCGGUGUGAGUAGCGAAAGACGGGUGAGAAUCCCGUCCACCGAUUGACUAAGGUUUCCAGAGGAAGGCUCGUCCGCUCUGGGUUAGUCGGGUCCUAAGCUGAGGCCGACAGGCGUAGGCGAUGGAUAACAGGUUGAUAUUCCUGUACCACCUAUAAUCGUUUUAAUCGAUGGGGGGACGCAGUAGGAUAGGCGAAGCGUGCGAUUGGAUUGCACGUCUAAGCAGUAAGGCUGAGUAUUAGGCAAAUCCGGUACUCGUUAAGGCUGAGC
RNAcentral lists this ribosomal RNA (1397 nucleotides) under Staphylococcus aureus. Its description in RNAcentral is "partial 23S ribosomal RNA". It matches the Rfam family "Bacterial large subunit ribosomal RNA", at positions 164 to 1561 of the family's 2925-position model. The record is from RNAcentral. Lineage: Bacteria; Bacillati; Bacillota; Bacilli; Caryophanales; Staphylococcaceae.